Molecule: ribosomal RNA, 327 nt
Filed under: uncultured eukaryote
Lineage: Eukaryota
Description: partial 18S ribosomal RNA
Rfam family: Eukaryotic small subunit ribosomal RNA
Source: RNAcentral
CCCUUAGAUGUUCUGGGCCGCACACGUGCUACACUGAAGGAGGCAGCGUGUACUCCUGGAUCGAAAGAUUUGGGUAACCCGCGAAUCUCCUUCGUGCUAGGGAUUGAGGUUUGCAAUUAUCCUUCAUGAACGAGGAAUUCCCAGUAAGUGCAAGUCAUAAGCUUGCGCUGACUACGUCCCUGCCCUUUGUACACACCGCCCGUCGCUACUACCGAUUGAAUGAUUUAGUGAGGACUUCGGACUGGGACCGAUGCGGCUUUCGGGCUGCGUCGGUAUUCUGGAAAGAUGUUCAAACUGUAUCAUUUAGAGGAAGUAAAAGUCGUAACA